GACUGCUGUUGUAGUGGUUUGAGCAUUAGACUAUUAUGACUCUGGAGACCAGGGUUCAAAUCCCUGUUCAGCCA
This is a non-coding RNA of Phrynosoma platyrhinos (Desert horned lizard), 74 nucleotides long. The record is from the annotation of a GenBank genome assembly. NCBI's taxonomy places the organism in Eukaryota, Metazoa, Chordata, Lepidosauria, Squamata, Phrynosomatidae.